Octopus sinensis (East Asian common octopus) is the source of this 158-nucleotide long non-coding RNA. RefSeq lists it as uncharacterized. NCBI's taxonomy places the organism in Eukaryota, Metazoa, Mollusca, Cephalopoda, Octopoda, Octopodidae. The record is from RefSeq and is a predicted model, not a curated record. The transcript is spliced from 3 exons.
UUGUCUCAACAAAAAUAGUUUCAAACACCACAUUCCUCUACAAAAAAUAGAUUAGUAUAUAAAACUGCUUACCACAGUUAAGGGUAAGGAAAUUUUGAGUGGACAUAUCUGAUUCCAGUAGUAAAAGGGUUUAUAUAUAAAAAAUUGUAGGGUGUCAU